GAUGAAGAACGCAGCGAAAUGCGAUAAGUAAUGUGAAUUGCAGAAUUCAGUGAAUCAUCGAAUCUUUGAACGCACAUUGCGCCCGCUAGUAUUCUGGCGGGCAUGCCUGUUCGAGCGUCAUUUCAACCAUCAAGCCCUGUUUAGGCUUGUGUUGGGGCCCUGCGGUUGCCGCAGCCCCCUAAAUGCAGUGGCGGGCUCGUUGUCACUCCGAGCGCAGUAGCGUAUCUCGCUCUGGGCGUGACAGCUUGUACCGGCCGUGAAACUCUCACUAAGGUUGACCUCGGAUCAGGUAGGAAUACCCGCUGAACUUAAGCAUAUCAAUAAGCGGAGGA
This 332-nucleotide unclassified non-coding RNA is filed under the name soil metagenome. RNAcentral's name for it is "partial contains 5.8S ribosomal RNA, internal transcribed spacer 2, and large subunit ribosomal RNA". The stretch from base 1 to 120 matches the Rfam family "5.8S ribosomal RNA", at positions 35 to 154 of the family's 154-position model. The record is from RNAcentral.